Molecule: microRNA precursor, 100 nt
Filed under: Choloepus hoffmanni (Hoffmann's two-fingered sloth)
Lineage: Eukaryota; Metazoa; Chordata; Mammalia; Pilosa; Megalonychidae
Description: miRNA (ENSCHOG00000015333.1)
Source: RNAcentral
UAAAUGCAGAUUCCUGAGCCCAUCCCCAGAGAUUCUGCUUCACUAGGCCUAGGGUGAAGCCCAGGAAUCUGCAUUUUCAUAAGCCCCCUGGGCGACUCUG